GGCUGUAAUCAUUUUGAGCUGAUACCGGUUCAUGGUUUGACCUAUAGCAUGGUUUGGAUCUAUUUCUCUCGACUUGUGCUGUUGCUAUGGAUAAGAAAACCCAUAAACUUAGGGAUGAAGGCGUUUAUACUACUAUGAUUGACACGUAGCAAUUUGUGUGCGUCAUACGCCAAAAUCGGUUGUACGAAACAGUCCGAGAUUUGAGAAAAAGGAAGAACGUGUCCUGUUUCAUAAAAUAAAUUAGAUAAAGAGGAUCAUUAUUUCCCAAACUUGGGCACUACCAAGGAAACCAGUUAUUUCCUAAGCUUGGGCUCUGGAAGCAUAAGCUCUUAUUGGGUGUCAAAACGGUACUAAAAUUGGCCAAGUUGUUUUGAAAACAAUUGGAUAUAUCAUAAGUCUUUCAAAUGAACUUACUCGAUUGACUACUUGAUAAAGGUCCAUUCAUCAUUUCUUCUGGUCAACUCAAGACUCUUAAAAUUCACCUCGAGCUUUAUUUGUGAGAGGGACUGAUCUUUUGUACCAAUUUCUUAAGAUUUAAUAGUAGUACCUUUUGUAAGGUUGGGCUACUGGAAGUUCUGUUAGACUCUUAGGAUAGUAAAAGGAAAUUAUGAAUGAUCCACCCCAAAAUGAUUAUAUAUUUUCCUCUUCUACCGUUUUAGAGUAUGAAUCUUUCAUGGAAAGUGGGUUAUCCUAGUUGCAAAAGAUGCUUAAAAGUUACAACCUACAAGGAUCUAUUUUUCAGUGAACAAAGGAUUAUUUUCACUUAUCAUACUGGCCAUAAAAGUUUUAUCGUUAUUUAAUCUAUGCUCUCAGUGCUCAUUUUUGUUCAGUUAGAAAAAGAAUUCCUCCCUCAGAUGACUCAAGGAAUGCUUGGUAUAUCAAAUACGAAAGGAUAUCAUAAAUUACUGACAUGUCAAGGUUCGCUAUUUCCUGCUGCCAGCAAUAGGAAGGGUAAUGAUACAUGUAUUUGUUGUUUGUUGAACAGUGGCAGUACACAGAAAAAAGCAGGAGCAGAACAGCAGGCUAAGCUAACUAGCUAAGAGAGUUCAAAGCUAUUCGAGUCCAGAAAGAUGAGUAGGUGUGGUAGAACUGGAAAUGUGAGACAGUACAUAUAGAUCCAAAGUCCCAAGAUUGAGAUGGACUCCUGAGCUUCAUCACUCCUUUGUUCUUGCCAUUCAAACACUUGGUGGCCAUCAAAAAGCUACGCCUAAGCUUGUUCUACAGCUGAUGGAUGCCAAGGGACUCACCAUUUCACACGUAAAGAGCCAUCUCCAGGUCUUGUCUUUCUCUCUCUCGCGCUAAAUAAAAGUCAACACAUUUCUCAUUUGGGUUGGAUUCAUAUUCUUCUAUAUAUGUUUCUUUGGGACAGAUGUAUAGGAGUGUGAGGGUUGAUAUGGGAAGACAAGGUACAAUAAUUAUAAUUUAGGCCAUACCGACAUGGUUUUCUUUGACCUUUUUUGGGUUAUUUAGAAAAUAAGAAAACAAUUCAUGUUUAUGAAUCUAUCUUUACAACAUCACGAUCAUCAUUCAAGCACUGAAAUCUGUGAGGCAAUUUCUUCUCCUCGUUCAAAGUUGGAUAAAAAUAAUUACAAUCACAGAGAUUGUUGGAGUUGGUGUUCUAUAAGGCAACAGCCGAAAAUUGGUGUGAAUUUAGAGUUGUCAAUGGCGCAUUUUGGUGGCUAAUCAGAACU
Cucurbita pepo subsp. pepo (vegetable marrow) is the source of this 1691-nucleotide non-coding RNA. The record is from RefSeq and is a predicted model, not a curated record. NCBI's taxonomy places the organism in Eukaryota, Viridiplantae, Streptophyta, Magnoliopsida, Cucurbitales, Cucurbitaceae.